Physcomitrium patens is the source of this 2235-nucleotide non-coding RNA. Lineage: Eukaryota; Viridiplantae; Streptophyta; Bryopsida; Funariales; Funariaceae. The record is from RefSeq and is a predicted model, not a curated record.
GUGAAAGAUUGACGUCAUUGAAUAUGUUAGGUAUGAGUGGAUGUAAGCAAUUAGAAGUAGUACCAAAAAGCUUUGAGCACCUUACAUGUGUUGAAGAGUUAUAUUUGAAUGAUUGCAACAACUUGAAGAAACUAGAUGUAAUAUUUACUGGUAUGAGAGCUUUGAGAAUAUUAUCACUUUCAAGAUGUGAGAAUUUAGAAGAGAUGCUAUUGGGAUUGGAAAAUCUUUCUAAGCUAGAAAAGUUGUGGUUGAAAAAUCGUAAGAAGCUAAAGAUUGCACAUGAUACAUUUGAAGGAUUGACAUCAUUGAAUUUGUUAGCUAUAAGUGGAUGUGAGCAAUUAGAAGUGGUACCAAAGAGCUUUGAGUGCCUUACAUGUCUUAAAGAGUUAUAUUUGAAUGAUUACAUCAACUUGAAGAAACUAGAUGCAACAUGUAUUGGCAUGAAGGCUUUGAGAAUAUUAUCACUUUUUGGAUGUGAGAAUUUAGAAGAGAUGCAAUUGGGAUUGAAGAAUCUCUCUAAGUUAGAAGAAUUAUGGUUUAUAAAUUGUAAGUAGCUAAAGAUUAUACAUAAUGCAUUUGAAGAAUUGACACCAUUGAAUAUAUUAGUUAUGAGUGGAUGUAAGCAAUAAGAAGUGGUAUCAAAAAGCUUUGAAUACCUUGCAUGUCUUAAAGAAUUAUUUUUGAAUGAUUGCAUCAAUUUGAAUGAUUGCAUCAAAAAUAAUUCUUCAAGACAUGCAAGGCCAACUGCAGGACCUACUAUGGAGCAUGCUGCCACACUAGCUCCAGAACCCGCUGCAGAGCCAAUCGCCGUGCUUAUUGUGGAUCUCGCCAAUGGGCUUGAUAUGGAGCUUGCUAUCAAAGCGAUUACAUUUGCGGCGGACUUUGUCUAAAUGCCUCAGAAACUUGUUGUUGCACCUACAUUCACAGUGCCUCUUCCAACAAGAGAACAAUCAAGAAACAAAAAGAAAAAAAAAAAAAAAAAAAAAACAAGAAAUGUGUGGACAACAAAGAAGAAGCAAGAAACAAAUACAAGUCAAUCAAGAAAUACAUACCUUCUCAAAUUUGAAGAAGCAGUGAGAGAGCUACAAAAGAGCUUCUCAACAAUGCAACACCAAAAAGGAGAUUGAAAUCCUAUAUUUCUCACAUAUCUGUUUUUAAAAUGGAUGAACUUUUGCUAUGGAUGAAAUUUAAUUUGAGGAUGAAGAUUAGUGUACUAGUGGGAGUAUUAGUAGAAUUAUACUAUAUAGUACACUAGUCUCUUGGUAUUAAUAUAGAAUACUAUCUACUUUGUAUUGACCUUACACCAAGAGUUGUGACUCUUGGUAUCACCUUUCUACAUACAAUAUAUUAUGUAUCAAUUGAUCAUAUUAAUAAUAAUGUUGUUUCCAACAGAGUCAAGGCAUGCUCCAUUAUCCUGGUGGACUGAUUGUCAUCGUCUUAAGAUCUUGAUUUUUUCUCGUCCAGCUGUCGAGCUGAUUGUAGUGGCAUUGGUGCCAGUUGCUGGACUCAAACAAUACCGAAUUCUCUUCAGAGCUAUCUUGGGAGCUUUUAUUGUCGUUGUCUCCUUGAGGCAGUUGAAGGCUUGGUUCCCUUUGAGUGAAAAGCCAAGUGUGGCUGAUGCAAUUGAUUGACUAUUGCAUUCCACAAAUAAUUGCGGCUUUGUUCCUUGCUGAAUCAGCUCUACACUUCAACGAUCCAAGACUCCACUGAUCGUUUGGGUGGAACUUGAGAGGGAUCGAGAAUUGAUGUGGUUGCGUAACUUGAGGGUGAUUCUUUAACAAGGAAGUGAUGCACAUUUUGGUAGUCUCUGCCUGCUAGUCAAUAAUUGGGCUGUGACGGUGGCGAACUUUGAGGAGGGCAUUGUUAGAUGACAAGCAAGCCCACAUUCUCGCAGUAGGACUGCAGCAACUACUCCAGGGAUCUGACUUUGUGACCUGGUGCCGGUGUUGUUCCUUUGCUUUUAAGGUGUUGUCAACAUUUUCUUCCGCAUGGUGAGGUUCCACAUGAUGAAUUAUUACGUUAGAUGAAUUUAGACGGAUGAUGUUUGGUUUAGAUGAAGGAAGUUAGAAUUUGAAGGAAAUCAAUUUGGAUGAAUAUUUUAAUCAAGGUUGAAUUAUUAUAGAUGAAUAUUGUUGUUAUUUGUAGAUGAAUUUCUAUUCUUAGAUGAUACUUUGUGAAUGGAUGAAAAUUAAGAUAAAAACAUAAAUUAAAAGAAAAUAAAACAUUUUAUUUUUA